CAGUUGAUUAUUUUGCAGAAAGCAGUUUCCUUACCUUCUUGAUUUAUAACUCUGAUGAAUUUGUCAUAAAAUGAUUUUCAAACACUUAUAUCAGAGCAUCAGUUGUGUUCAGAAGCAUGUCCUACUUUGGCCCUAUAUGGCAAAACUGAUGACUGAAAUGUAAUUUCUGAAGCAUCUAUGUUAGGGCCUAAUUGAAGACAGUCUAAUAUAUAGAUUGUCAACAAGAAUUAAGGGGAAAAUAAUUUCUCAGUUGUUUUACUUUACCUUGCUCAUUACCUGUGAAUAAUCCCUGACAUGCCUUGUUGCUCUGAGUACCCAAUCUGGAAGACGGUCUUAGCAAAAGUGAGCUAAUUCCCUGUAUUUCAUUUGCUGAAUGUUUGUAAUUUUUAGGUAUUGGAGGAAAGUAUAUGGAAAACAGAAAUACAGUCUUGAUUAUAAUUCUGAUAAGGCAGGUAUAUUAAAAAUGUAAUAAAGACCUUACCUGAAUAUUUCA
This 493-nucleotide non-coding RNA is filed under the name Pongo abelii (Sumatran orangutan). The record is from RNAcentral. Lineage: Eukaryota; Metazoa; Chordata; Mammalia; Primates; Hominidae.